UACGGGGGGGGCUAGCGUUAUUCGGAAUCAUUGGGCGUAAAGGGCGCGUAGGCGGCGCGGUAAGUCAAAGGUGAAAUCUCUCGGCUCAACUGAGAGUCUGCUGGGGAAACUGCCGGGCUUGAGUGUGGGAGAGGAGAGUGGAAUUCCUGGUGUAGCGGUGAAAUGCGUAGAUAUCAGGAGGAACACCUGAGGCGAAAGCGGCUCUCUGGACCACAACUGACGCUGAGGCGCGAAAGCUAGGGGAGCAAACAGG
Molecule: ribosomal RNA, 253 nt
Filed under: uncultured bacterium
Lineage: Bacteria
Description: partial 16S ribosomal RNA
Rfam family: Bacterial small subunit ribosomal RNA
Source: RNAcentral